AUUAGAAAUUAACGAAGAAACAUUUUCAAAAAACUUUAUUCCUCCUCUUCUUCCUCGCCGAGUGUUUCAUCCUCAACAACUCCAUCAUCUUCCCAAGGGUUAGCCACCGGAUUUCAACUAGGAACCGGAGUUCGUGUCAGCGAACCAGGUGAUGUGGAACACACACAUUUGGUGAAAGGAUUGGACUAUGCCUUACUUCACAAAAUAAGAAGUCAGAUUGAUAAGAAACCCGAAUUUCGUGAAGAAACUGAUUGAAAGUCUAGCAUAAAAUGAAAACCCUCGAGGCCUGACUUAUUCUCUCCUCAAUUUCUCAAAUACAAAUUAUCAAAAGAACCAAAAAUCCCUUGAGCUUAAAGAGAACAAAACCCUCGAAGCCAGCAACCACCGCUUGCAACUUCUUCUUCUUCUCCUUCUCCAGCAGCAAGAGCGACAACAACCAGUAGCCAGCAGCCAUCGCCUGCGACAUCUUCUCCUCCAGCAGCAAGAGCGACAAUAGCCUGUGACAUCUUCUCCUUUGGCAGCAAGAGCGACAAUAGCCAGCAGCCGCCGCCUGCGACGUCUUAUCCUCCGGCAACAAGAAUGACAACAACCAGUUGCUCACUCACUUCCAAUCAUUGCUUUCAAGCUUCAGUCACAGGUAUAUGGGCAACAUUCCAUACGCAAGUUACUGAACCACUUCUUCUAUGGGCGUUCUCAAGUAUUUGCUCCCUUUGAAGGGUGCAAGCUAUUGGAAAGAUGAGUUUUUUCGUGCAACAAAUAUUCGCUUGUUAGUGUUGUCUACCUAUUAAAAUAGUCACCAGAUGACCAUACCAUCUACUAAAUGGUAUGGGAAUUUUCAUCUGACAUGCCUAUGUUAGAAACAUGGUAAAAAUGGAGCAUGCCAAUUGAAUUUGAUAUGGGUCUUUUGCUUUCUGCAUUGUUCCUCUUCAAUGCAGUCAUCUCAUGAUUUUAGAUUAUUUCAACUUGAGAUCAGGUGCAUUUGCUAUAUCAAUUCUAUGUGUAUGGCAUCUGUAAGUGGAAUCCUUUUGGAUUUUCAAUUCCUUAUGAUUUCUUCCUACAUUCCUGAACUUGCUCUGCGACUUACAGCUUUGGACAACCCCUUUUUUUUUAAUGGCCUUAAUUUCAUUUGACUUUUCUAUGAUGCUCAUGCUUUAAGAAAAUGAUAUCAAGACUGCUUUACUAAUUAUUAUAUGAUUUGUUAAAUUUUUCCUUAAUUUUUCUUUGUUCUUUAAUUUUUAAAUGCAUUUCAAGUUUUAGGUGGAGAUUUUAGCUUAUUUUUUUUACAGGUGGAAUUUGAUAUUAUAAAAUUUCAUCCCCUUCCCACACUCUUGUCACCAAUUUGGUUUAACCCCCCCCCCUUUUCCUAUGAUUUCAUUAUUGGAAUUUUGUUUUGUCAGUUCACAAUUGUAAAUUUGUAAUGAUAAAUCUUGAGCUUAGAGUGAAUUCUACAAAAUCCAUGAUUGGUUGUGAACAAUUGGUAAUGUAUGGAAAAAUGUCUAUCAAAUGAUAUGGUAGUGACUAUUGGUCCUAUGCUUGUGGAGAACUAGUUCUCUAAUUUAUAUUGCUGUGUUCUGCAGGUUUCUUUCUGUAUGUUACUUCAGUGCCUAGCUUCUAGAUAUUAACUUGAGUAGUUUGAAUUGACAAAUGAAAAUUAGGGCAAACUAGAAUGGUGCUAAAAAAGCAGCUAGGGUUCCAACAAUAGUUGGUUAAGGAGGAUUGAACUCUUACUAAUCAUCAAAAUUGAAUGUCAUAUAGUUCUUGUAGACCUUGUGACACUUCCGUUUUGCAAUUUUCUUUUGAGAAUUUCACUCCAGGUGCUGUGAAACACCUUAAUCAACAUUAGUCACCAAUAAUCCCAUAGUUGUCCUUGUCACUUACCUUUCUUUAGACUUCUUGGAUUUGUUAAUCGUUGGAAUUGGCAGUUAUCUCUAGUGACUUCAUGCUGUAAAGGAGACAUGUUAAGGGGAAAAAAGGUGAAUUUGAGACUAUCUUGGCUGGUUUGAUUGUGCAUGUUCAUUUUCAACAACAAUGAUGAGUUUUGGGUAUUAUACCAUUGUAUAUUUGGUCAGAAAGAUGCCUUGAGUGAUAAAGGUGCUUCUUUAUAUAUAUAUAUAUAUAUAUAUAUAUAUUAACUUAAAAGAGGUCUAAUCCCAAAAGCAAGGAAUGAUUUUUCUACAGAUGGCUUUAAAUGGCCACUGGGAUGAUUAACCUGGUGUGCUCUCUCAUCAUUUGAUGCAAGCAUUUGAAUCAUUAGUGGUCGUAUGAAACUAUGAAGUAAUUUUCAACAUUUCAUUGACUAAAAAUCUGAAACAGAGGGAUCUUGCUUAUGUUGGAAAAGUAAGAUAAUUCAUGUAAUUUCAAGUACUAUUUGCUUAGCUCAGUUCUUCAUUCCUAUACUUGGUUGAGUUGAGAAGUUGGAUCUUGUACAUGCCUUCUAUUGUGUUUGCUGUGUUUUUUGGAUACUGUUGGUGCAUAUGAAUGCUAAAAAAAUUAAUCUUCAUCAGAACUCUUUAGAAGGACAUGGAGGUGAACUACACCAGGGUUAUGACAUAUAAGUGAAUUACACCAGGGUUAUGUAUGAAAAACUACUAUAGUAUCAAAUGCAUGGAUAAUGGUUUAGAAUUUGUGACCAAAAUUUUCUCUCUAUUUGCAGCUUUCGGCGACACAUUCAGUUUCGCUCUUCCAUCAGAUCUAGUAUUGGUGGUGGUGCUUGUGGUUCCAUUGUCUACGACUAUUUCUUGCUUUGUAAAAUGAGGAAAAGCCUUCCAAAUUUUUCUCUCUCUAGUAUAUAUAUCCAUUGUCUACCACUAUUUCUUGCAUGAUUGUCUUUUUCUUUUUUUCUUUUUUUGAGUUUUUAGCUGAGACAUUUGAGUAAACAGUUGCUAAUAGUAUCACCUUACUAAGGAUAAUAAAUCCUAAUUUUUCAUA
Long non-coding RNA from Macadamia integrifolia, 2928 nucleotides. RefSeq lists it as uncharacterized. The record is from RefSeq and is a predicted model, not a curated record. Lineage: Eukaryota; Viridiplantae; Streptophyta; Magnoliopsida; Proteales; Proteaceae. The transcript has 5 exons.